This 617-nucleotide ribosomal RNA is filed under the name Hepatozoon canis. RNAcentral describes it as "bacterial SSU rRNA". It matches the Rfam family "Eukaryotic small subunit ribosomal RNA", at positions 189 to 795 of the family's 1831-position model. Lineage: Eukaryota; Apicomplexa; Hepatozoidae. The record is from RNAcentral.
UUAUUAGAAGAGACGCAUUUAUUAGAUAAAAAGCCAAUGCAUGCUUUUACAGUAUGAAAAUUGGUGAUUUAUAAUAACUUAGCAAAUCGCAAAGUGAAAACAGGCGAUAAAUCAUUCAAGUUUCUGACCUAUCAGCUUUCGACGGUAUGGUAUUGGCUUACCGUGGCAGUGACGGUUAACGGGGGAUUAGGGUUCGAUUCCGGAGAGGGAGCCUGAGAAACGGCUACCACAUCUAAGGAAGGCAGCAGGCGCGCAAAUUACCCAAUUCUAACAGUUUGAGAGAGGUAGUAACAAGAAAUAACAAUACAAGGCAGUUAAAAUGCUUUGUAAUUGGAAUGAUAGAAAUUUAAACCCUUUUUAAAGUAUCAAUUGGAGGGCAAGUCUGGUGCCAGCAGCCGCGGUAAUUCCAGCUCCAAUAGCGUAUAUUAAAAUUGUUGCAGUUAAAAAGCUCGUAGUUGAAGUUCUGCUAAAAGUAACCGGUCUGCUUUUAAUAAAGGUGGUAUCUUGGUGUGUAUUUAGCAAUGAUGUCCUUUGAAGUGUUUUUUACUUUAUUGUAAUAAAGCAUAUUCAGGACUUUUACUUUGAGAAAAUUAGAGUGUUUCUAGCAGGCUAACGCU